Molecule: long non-coding RNA, 1597 nt
Organism: Mus musculus (house mouse)
Lineage: Eukaryota; Metazoa; Chordata; Mammalia; Rodentia; Muridae
Product: predicted gene, 53842
Exons: 3
Source: RefSeq, a predicted model, not a curated record
ACUUAACAAUCAAUAUCCACAGAUAAAUGCAAUGGUUUCUAAACAACUGAUUGUCUCACCACCUUAUGAAGCUGUUCUUGCCCUGUGAGAGGUGACAUGCAUAAGGACGUCCUAGUUUUUCCCUGCAUUGACCUUCCACUGAAGGGGAGGGUGUUACAGAGGCUCUCAGUGUCUCUUAUUCUCAGUUACCAGUCUGCAGUCAUCCACUGCAGUUACCACUGCGAAAGGAGCUUCUUUGUCCAUAGCAACACGGAUCACGGACAACCACACAGCCUCUAGCGGCGUCAUGGACCAUGGACAUCAACAUGACUUCUGGAUGCAUUGUAGAUCAUGGACAUCAACGUAGACUCCAGUGGCAGCAUGGACUCUGAGCAUCAACUUGACUUCUGUAGUUAGCAUGGAUCAUGGACAUUCACAUGGCCUGUGGCUGCAGGCCUGUGGCAGCAGCAAGAACCACAGAUACUAGCAUGGCCUCCAGGACCAGCACAGAGCAUGGAGGUCUUUCAAGUAGUCAGAAAAUGAACUGUUCUUCAUCUCAGAUACCUUGUUGCUCAGAAUCAUUGCGUGCGGUUUGGCAGUGCAUUUGGGGGCAGUACCUGCAUGAUCUCCAGGCUGCUGCGCACCUUCUGGCCCCAGGCUUGCCCCUGCGAGCCGGGCAAGCAGAGCGAGCAGAGCGAGCAUGCAGGGAGAGCAGUUGCCUGCUUCUUGAGUCCCACUUCUCUGCACUGUGCACAACGUCCUGUUGCACCAUCUUUUCUUUUUUUUUCCCAAUUUCAUAAAACCUCUUUUUAAAAGCAUCUUCUUCCCAUUUGUUCCCAUUGUUUGGGAUACUUUGCAUGCUCUUCAGGGUCAUCCUCCCGCUCGAAGCCUCUGUGGGUCUUGCAGGCACCUCAGAAUGGCCACCAUCUUGAAUCAAGUUCCAACCACCUUCCUCUUUCUUAUCUGUAGCUUUCUCUUCUCUAGUCAUAACACAUGUAGCUUUGUUAUCCCUAAUACAUUUAUUUUGUUGUCUUAUCAAGUCAUUUAAUUUUGGGUAUUUUCUGUCUUGAUUUUUAGGGGCACUAGAAUUAUGUAAUUUUAUUUGUCUCACUGAUGUCAUAGUCUGAAAUGAUUAAGCAUCCAAGUAAACAGUGACAUUAGUAGAUAAUAACCUGUCGAGUCAUAUGUCAACGGAUCAAUCAGCUAAAAUUGUGUUUUCUUUCCGUUCCUGUUCUUGAAGUUGUGUUGCAGUUUGGAUUUAGUUAUAAUCAUGAUGUCAGCUAGUAUAAGAAUCAUUGCGAACACUCCACAUCCAGUUUCUCCAGGUUUUCUGUAUACUUGACUUGUUUUAAUCAGGCUUCAAUUUUUUUCAUGUUUCUUUUUCCUGUCAACUCUUUACUUCUAUCUUUUGUAGCCUGACGAUGGCUGACAAGAAUUCACCGUAUGAAUAUUGCUCUUACUGAGGACUUUCAAUGUGGCAACUUAAACAAAUGAUGUACGUCUGAAGUGACAGAUAUUCCAACCUGAUUAUUACACAUUAUAUACUUGUAUCAAAAUGCACUGCACCCCAUUAAUGUGGGGGAAUUUCUGUGUGUCAAUUUAAAACAAGUUAAUAAAA